RNAcentral lists this long non-coding RNA (950 nucleotides) under Heterocephalus glaber (naked mole-rat). RNAcentral's name for it is "lncRNA (ENSHGLG00100047509.1)". Lineage: Eukaryota; Metazoa; Chordata; Mammalia; Rodentia; Bathyergidae. The record is from RNAcentral.
CCUACUCCCAUGCUUCUGGGGAUUUACACUUUUGCUGAUCAGCUGGACAAGCACCAACAGUGGAAAUCCUCCUGGCAAACAGAAAGAACACAGUCUCCAGAGUCAGACUGACCCAAGGACUGCACAAGCGUCAUCUUUUAUUUCCUGUGCCAUCUGGCUCAAACUACUCCAAGCUCUUUCCACGUCUCAAUAACUUUGUCUGUGAAAUGAAGCUAUAAGAAAACCAAAGAAAGGGAAGCCAUGUCCUUUCCACUAUGAAGGCUUUCAAAGGAAAGGAAAUAGGACACUGGCUGGAAUUCAGCCACAAAGCUUGAAUCCACAUGGUGACACUUUGAGAGAUCUUCAAAGUUCCUGCCCUCGGGGAAGUAGAUUCUCUAAGCAAGUCAUCUGGCAGAAGAACCCACUGGCAAAAUCUACUGAAAGAGGAUAAUGUAAAAUGACAGCUGUAAUGUUUUUGCAAAAGUUGAAGGCUCUUCCCUUCUAAGAAGGAUGAAGCAAGGAAAAACAUUGACUUUCACAGGAAAAGUCCACAUCCAAAUGAUGAGGGAAAAAAUAAAGAAAAAAUUCAGGACAAAUCUGAGUAGGAAAAUGUAAGAGGCACUAGAGAAGGAAGAAAAAAGAAUAUGAGAAGGAAGAAGAGAAUGAGUAAAAGAUGAAUGAGAGGGGCCGGGGAUUUAGCUCAGUGGUUCUGCCGCCUGCCUCGCAAGCGCAAGGACCCGAGUUCAUUCCCCGGUACAAAAAAAAAAAAAAAAAAGAUGAAUGAGAAAAUAAGAUUGUGUAACAGCAUAAAUAUUUCCUGGCACAAUACAGGCACUCAGUAUAUGUUUUGAAUCAAUAAUUCUAUUGACCAGGCUUUUCAAAGAGUUGUAAAAAGUAGAAUCAAAAUGUAUUGUCUACAUUGAGGUCUUUGAUGUUUCUAAAUAGGAACAAUAAAUAUUCUUUAGUAUAGG